UACGUAGGGGGCUAGCGUUAUCCGGAAUUACUGGGCGUAAAGGGUGCGUAGGCGGUCUUUCAAGCCAGAAGUGAAAGGCUACGGCUCAACCGUAGUAAGCCUUUGAAACUGGGAAACUUGAGUGCAGGAGAGGAGAGUGGAAUUCCUAGUGUAGCGGUGAAAUGCGUAGAUAUUAGGAGGAACACCAGUUGCGAAGGCGGAUCUCUGGACUGUAACUGACACUGAGGCACGAAAGCGUGGGGAGCAAACAGGAUUAGAUACCCCCGUAGUCCCUGAG
RNAcentral lists this ribosomal RNA (277 nucleotides) under uncultured prokaryote. RNAcentral's name for it is "partial 16S ribosomal RNA". It matches the Rfam family "Bacterial small subunit ribosomal RNA", at positions 524 to 801 of the family's 1533-position model. The record is from RNAcentral.